Molecule: ribosomal RNA, 468 nt
Filed under: uncultured bacterium
Lineage: Bacteria
Description: partial 16S ribosomal RNA
Rfam family: Bacterial small subunit ribosomal RNA
Source: RNAcentral
GACGAACGCUGGCGGCGUGCUUAACACAUGCAAGUCGAACGGAAAGGCCCUGCUUUUGUGGGGUGCUCGAGUGGCGAACGGGUGAGUAACACGUGAGUAACCUGCCCUUGACUUUGGGAUAACUUCAGGAAACUGGGGCUAAUACCGGAUAGGAGCUCCUGCUGCAUGGUGGGGGUUGGAAAGUUUCGGCGGUUGGGGAUGGACUCGCGGCUUAUCAGCUUGUUGGUGGGGUAGUGGCUUACCAAGGCAUUGACGGGUAGCCGGCCUGAGAGGGUGACCGGCCACAUUGGGACUGAGGUACGGCCCAGACUGCUACGGGAGGCAGCAGUGGGGAAUAUUGCACAAUGGGCGGAAGCCUGAUGCAGCAACGCCGCGUGCGGGAUGACGGCCUUCGGGUUGUAAACCGCUUUCGCCUGUGACGAAGCGUGAGUGACGGUAAUGGGUAAAGAAGCACCGGCUAACUACGUG